This 502-nucleotide ribosomal RNA is filed under the name uncultured bacterium. Its description in RNAcentral is "partial 16S ribosomal RNA". It matches the Rfam family "Bacterial small subunit ribosomal RNA", at positions 355 to 874 of the family's 1533-position model. The record is from RNAcentral.
UGGGGAAUAUUGGACAAUGGGGGCAACCCUGAUCCAGCCAUGCCGCGUGAGUGAUGAAGGCCUUCGGGUUGUAAAGCUCUUUUGGCGGGGACGAUGAUGACGGUACCCGCAGAAUAAGCCCCGGCUAACUUCGUGCCAGCAGCCGCGGUAAGACGAAGGGGGCUAGCGUUGUUCGGAAUUACUGGGCGUAAAGCGAGUGUAGGCGGUUGCCGUAGUCAGGUGUGAAAGCCUUGAGCUCAACUCAAGAAAUGCACUUGAUACUGGGUGACUAGAGGACCGGAGAGGAUAGUGGAAUUCCCAGUGUAGUGGUGAAAUACGUAGAGAUUGGGAAGAACACCAGUGGCGAAGGCGGCUAUCUGGACGGUUACUGACGCUAAGACUCGAAAGCGUGGGGAGCAAAACAGGAUUAGAUACCCUGGUAGUCCACGCCGUAAACGAUGGGUGCUAGACGUUGGCGAGCUUGCUCGUCAGUGUCGCAGCUAACGCGUUAAGCACCCCGCCU